UCCACUGAUUUUUCAUUGCUUUCAGGUGGUUCUUUGAUACCCGUGCCUGGCAGAACCCAGAUUUCUCCAAGUAUCUCGUGGUGCUGAGCAGCAGAGUUUCCUAGAAGGAGACUUUAAAAGUCUUUCUCAAAGUGAAUAGGAAACUUGGGAAUGCUUGCUGUCAUCUCUCCCCUGAGAAGUGUAGCAACUUCACAACCAGGAGAAGUUGGUCCUUGGGAGCUGUGAUUCCUGCCUGCACGCAAUGCUGCAGGCUCCAGAGGAGAGACCCUGGGUGCUGAUGACAAGGACGUGGUCCAAGUGCCACCCCGGGCAUUGCCAGCCACAGAGGGGAUGUGUUUGCCUGGGACAGGUGCAUUCCCAGUCUCGCAGAGCAGGAGGUUCUGAGCUGUGACCGUGCCACUCCAGCACCUAAAAUGUGAAACCUGUGGAGAAUUCCUAUUACUGUGCAGUAAGUCAACUCUGAUAUUUGCAUAUUUAUUUUUAGAAGACAGAUUUGGGUUGAUUUAAGG
Molecule: long non-coding RNA, 509 nt
Filed under: Lonchura striata (white-rumped munia)
Lineage: Eukaryota; Metazoa; Chordata; Aves; Passeriformes; Estrildidae
Description: domestica (Bengalese finch) lncRNA (ENSLSDG00000000888.1)
Source: RNAcentral